UACGGAGGGUGCAAGCGUUAUCCGGAUUUACUGGGUUUAAAGGGUGCGCAGGCGGAUUUUUAAGUCAGUGGUGAAAGCUUGGAGCUCAACUCCGAAAUUGCCAUUGAUACUGGAAAUCUUGAGUACAGUUGAGGUAGGCGGAAUGAGUCAUGUAGCGGUGAAAUGCUUAGAUAUGACUCAGAACACCGAUUGCGUAGGCAGCUUACUAAACUGUAACUGACGCUCAGGCACGAAAGCGUGGGUAGCGAACAGG
Molecule: unclassified non-coding RNA, 253 nt
Filed under: uncultured Chitinophagales bacterium
Lineage: Bacteria; Pseudomonadati; Bacteroidota; Chitinophagia; Chitinophagales
Description: contains 16S-23S intergenic spacer region
Rfam family: Bacterial small subunit ribosomal RNA
Source: RNAcentral